Molecule: ribosomal RNA, 468 nt
Filed under: uncultured bacterium
Lineage: Bacteria
Description: partial 16S ribosomal RNA
Rfam family: Bacterial small subunit ribosomal RNA
Source: RNAcentral
GACGAACGCUGGCGGCGUGCUUAACACAUGCAAGUCGAACGGAAAGGCCCUGCUUUUGUGGGGUGCUCGAGUGGCGAACGGGUGAGUAACACGUGAGUAACCUGCCCUUGACUUUGGGAUAACUUCAGGAAACUGGGGCUAAUACCGGAUAGGAGCUCCUGCUGCAUGGUGGGGGUUGGAAAGUUUCGGCGGUUGGGGAUGGACUCGCGGCUUAUCAGCUUGUUGGUGGGGUAGUGGCUUACCAAGGCUUUGACGGGUAGCCGGCCUGAGAAGGUGACCGGCCACAUUGGGACUGAGAUACGGCACAGACUCCUACGGGAGGCAGCAGUGGGGAAUAUUGCACAAUGGGCGGAAGCCUGAUGCAGCAACGCCGCGUGCGGGAUGACGGCCUUCGGGUUGUAAACCGCUUUCGCCUGUGACGAAGCGUGAGUGACGGUAAUGGGUAAAGAAGCACCGGCUAACUACGUG